RNAcentral lists this non-coding RNA (167 nucleotides) under bovine gut metagenome. RNAcentral describes it as "malK-I RNA". It matches the Rfam family "malK-I RNA". The record is from RNAcentral.
CGGCCGGCACUCCACUGAAAUGCCUGCCGCAGCAUCAAAAAAGGAGGAAAAGCGUUUCCCCCGGGCUUGGGGUGCGGCAGAGUGGAGACCUGUCGUAAAAGUAGAGGCGAAAGCCCUCUGAGCGUAUUUCGUGAGGAUUCAGAAUACGCAAAGCCUGUAGUAUGGCA